GCUGUAGCUCAGUGGAAGAGCCUCUGCUUUGUGUGCAGAAGGUCCCAGGAUCAAUCCCUGGGAUACGCA
This 69-nucleotide transfer RNA is filed under the name Sphaerodactylus townsendi. RNAcentral describes it as "tRNA-Thr". The stretch from base 5 to 61 matches the Rfam family "tRNA", at positions 8 to 63 of the family's 71-position model. Rfam says of the family: Transfer RNA (tRNA) molecules are approximately 80 nucleotides in length. Their secondary structure includes four short double-helical elements and three loops (D, anti-codon, and T loops). The record is from RNAcentral. Lineage: Eukaryota; Metazoa; Chordata; Lepidosauria; Squamata; Sphaerodactylidae.